AUGCACGCUGGCGGCGUGCCUCAUCCCUGCCAGUCGAGCGCACAGACGAGGAGCUUGCUCCUCUGACGUUAGCGGCGGACGGGUGAGUAACACGUGGAUAACCUACCUAUAAGACUGGGAUAACUUCGGGAAACCGGAGCUAAUACCGGAUAAUAUAUUGAACCGCAUGGUUCAAUAGUGAAAGACGGUUUUGCUGUCACUUAUAGAUGGAUCCGCGCCGCAUUAGCUAGUUGGUAAGGUAACGGCUUACCAAGGCAACGAUGCGUAGCCGACCUGAGAGGGUGAUCGGCCACACUGGAACUGAGACACGGUCCAGACUCCUACGGGAGGCAGCAGUAGGGAAUCUUCCGCAAUGGGCGAAAGCUUGACGGAGCAACGCCGCGUGAGUGAUGAAGGUCUUCGGAUCGUAAAACUCUGUUAUUAGGGAAGAACAAAUGUGUAAGUAACUAUGCACGUCUUGACGGUACCUAAUCAGAAAGCCACGGCUAACUACGUG
RNAcentral lists this ribosomal RNA (496 nucleotides) under uncultured bacterium. Its description in RNAcentral is "partial 16S ribosomal RNA". It matches the Rfam family "Bacterial small subunit ribosomal RNA", at positions 29 to 507 of the family's 1533-position model. The record is from RNAcentral.